Molecule: non-coding RNA, 102 nt
Filed under: Gordonia terrae
Lineage: Bacteria; Bacillati; Actinomycetota; Actinomycetes; Mycobacteriales; Gordoniaceae
Description: Glycine sequence
Rfam family: Glycine riboswitch aptamer
About the family: This family represents the bacterial glycine riboswitch. Glycine riboswitches usually consist of two metabolite-binding aptamers domains with similar structures in tandem.
Source: RNAcentral
CGCUACGCUGCGGGAGAGCGCCGACGGCAGAGAUGCCGGCGGCCGCCGAAGGAGCAACACCUCUCCGUCAAACUCUCAGGCACCCAGGACCGCGGUGGUGAC